This 433-nucleotide ribosomal RNA is filed under the name uncultured bacterium. Its description in RNAcentral is "partial 16S ribosomal RNA". It matches the Rfam family "Bacterial small subunit ribosomal RNA", at positions 29 to 507 of the family's 1533-position model. The record is from RNAcentral.
AACGAACGCUGGCGGCAUGCCUAACACAUGCAAGUCGAACGAGACCUUCGGGUCUAGUGGCGCACGGGUGCGUAACGCGUGGGAACCUGCCCUUAGGUUCGGAAUAACUCCCCGAAAGGGGUGCUAAUACCGGAUAAUGUCUUCGGACCAAAGAUUUAUCGCCUUUGGAUGGGCCCGCGUUGGAUUAGCUAGUUGGUAGGGUAAAAGCCUACCAAGGCGACGAUCCAUAGCUGGUCUGAGAGGAUGAUCAGCCACGCUGGGACUGAGACACGGCCCAGACUCGUACGGAAGGCAGCAGUGGGGAAUAUUGGACAAGGGGGGAAAGCCUGAUGCAGCAAUGCCGCGUGAGUGAUGAAGGCCUUAGGGUUGUAAAGCUCUUUUACCCGGGAUGAUAAUGACAGUACCGGGAGAAUAAGCUCCGGCUAACUCCGUG